Molecule: ribosomal RNA, 428 nt
Filed under: uncultured archaeon
Lineage: Archaea
Description: bacterial SSU rRNA
Rfam family: Archaeal small subunit ribosomal RNA
Source: RNAcentral
AACCAGCUCUUCAAGUGGUCGGGAUGAUUAUUGGGCUUAAAGUGUCCGUAGCCGGUUUAGUAAGUUCCUGGUAAAAUCAGGUAGCUUAACUAUCUGUAUGCUAGGAAUACUACUAUACUAGAGGGCGGGAGAGGUCUGAGGUACUAUAGGGGUAGGGGUGAAAUCUUAUAAUCCUUGUAGGACCACCAGUGGCGAAGGCGUCAGACUGGAACGUGCCUGGCGGUGAGGGACGAAAGCCAGGGGAGCGAACCGGAUUAGAUACCCGGGUAGUCCAGGCCGUAAACGAUGCAUACUAGGUGAUGGCCCGGCCAUGAGCCGUGUCAGUGCCGUAGGGAAACCGUUAAGUGUGCCGCCUGGGAAGUACGGUCGCAAGGCUAAAACUUAAAGGAAUUGGCGGGGGAGCACCACAAGGGUGAAGCCUGCGGUUC